AUCCAGAUGACGGGUUCCAUAUAGGACUAAAUGCGCGUCAUGGAU
This 45-nucleotide non-coding RNA is filed under the name Trichobilharzia regenti. The record is from RNAcentral. Lineage: Eukaryota; Metazoa; Platyhelminthes; Trematoda; Strigeidida; Schistosomatidae.